CCUGUCUAAAAUCAGUUAGGAUACAGUGCAUAAAAUCCAAUUCAAAGUAUUCUAAAAUGUUAUAUUAAAAAAAGUUCAUAAUAUUAAAAUGUAUGGUUAAAAUAUGUGCUGGAUAAAAAACUAUAAUAUGUAUAGUGUAUUAAAAGACAAUUUACAAUUCAAAGAUAAAUAUUCUAAAAAAAGGUCAAGUUCAUUAAGUUGAAGAGAUGUGUGAUUCAGAGAACGUGAGAGGAAUAAGCAGUGUAAAUGCAAGUGUAAUCUAACAUGUUAUCUGUUUUGUGUCAAUCAUUUCAUUCCUGUGUUCCUAUUGGUUGUUAUCUAACUCACGAGCCAAUCAAGCUAAAUUCAUGGGGUGAGAGGCGGGACUAGUGGCGCAGGUUAGUUUGGUGCGUACGUGAGCAUGCGAGAGACAGAGAGCCACGAUCGAUCAGCGAGCUAAGACGGAGGCAUCGUGUGGGGAGCAUUUAAGUUUUAUUGUGGAGGUCGACUACCCGUUGUCCUGAUAUAAACUUCUGUGUGACCUGCAAGAGGAGACGGACGUUGGAGAAGGAGAGAGAUUGAGACUGUCCAGACAGACGGCCCUGCUGUUUUUUAUUCUUCCUCGUGACUCUGCUGCUGAGCGCCAUCGCCCGUGUGUGUGCUGGAACUGUGACUGCCAUUGCCCUUAUGAGACUGCCAUCGUUUCCCCUUUCUAUCCCUACUAACAAACCAUUGGAUUCGUGAGUACUAACUGAAAACAGUUUGAAAGUGCACGUGCUUUUAUUUUUGCUCAGUUGAGUGAAGCGGCCAUUACAGUUUUUAGGCCCCACCGCACACAAGCCUCAUCCAUCAGGCCUGCAACGGGUUUGAGUUUAUUUUCUGGUGUGUUGUAUGUGAAUGUGUGUGGGCCCACCGGUACAACAAAAGGUAUUUUUGAAAAGUGAAAGAAGUGUUUUAUUUUCUUAUUUGAGGUAUUCAUUUUUAUUAUACAAGGGUACAAAGUGAAAGGCUUUUAUUUUGAAACCAAAAGGGAAGUAACCUGUGAAAGAGCUGUGAACUUUGUCUAUAACUUGUCUCUUUAUGCCCUAAUAACAUAUUUUCCUAUUUUACUUUUUUUGUCAAUUGUGUAAAUAAAUACCGGUGAGAGUUUAUAUUUAAAGUACAA
Acanthopagrus latus (yellowfin seabream) is the source of this 1144-nucleotide long non-coding RNA. RefSeq lists it as uncharacterized. The record is from RefSeq and is a predicted model, not a curated record. The transcript has 2 exons. Lineage: Eukaryota; Metazoa; Chordata; Actinopteri; Spariformes; Sparidae.